This is a non-coding RNA of Leptonychotes weddellii (Weddell seal), 1327 nucleotides long. Lineage: Eukaryota; Metazoa; Chordata; Mammalia; Carnivora; Phocidae. The record is from RefSeq and is a predicted model, not a curated record.
UCUCCACGCAACGCGCGCGCAUCCACCUGGGCGCGCCGGCCCGCGCAGCUCGCGGGCGCGGGGACCUGAAGCCACAUGUCGGUAUGCCUGCUAGCGAGUCAGGUCAGUUAUCUUCGGAAUACGGCAGAGCACUGCUGACGGUCCGUGCUGCGACUCACUGUGGGGCUGGCCAAAGGCUCCAGACACCCAAGACUAUCGGAUCCACCGAGUCCUGUGGCCCAGAUGGCCGAGAGCUUACGUGGCAGCCUGGGCCUCCUGCAGCUCCUCCUUUUGCUCUGGGUUACUCAGAAGGGACUGGACACAGCCACUUGCUUGGCACUUAGGAAGGGGUGUCUCCUGGGCCCCUAGACAUUUCAGAUGUGGAAAGCCUUGGACUUUUUGUGGAAUGUAUUUUUCACUGGGCCUACCGAGGAUAAUUGCCGCUUUCUGCUCAUCAAUUCGGUCAACGUGAUGUCACCAAUGUAAUGGUGUGAGGUCCAGUGGAGAGGAACAGUGACCCAGUCCCCAUGGACUUGCUUCGGUAAUAAAACCAAGUCAGCAACAGCAGCUGCAGUUGGAGUCACCACCUGGUCAUGCUCAGUCUGUUGUCAUUGUCCGAGACCCCCGCCUUCAGCAUCAGCUGGAUCGGAAGGGCAAACAGGGGUGUGAUGGGGAUUACCACCCCUGCACCUUUCAGGUCCUUGUUGGUGGUACUGGUCUCUGCACUCCCUCCAGAGAUGCCUUACUGCUCUUGCUUUACUAUUUUCCCAGGUAGGAGCGGUUCUGGGGUUCCACCUGGCCUUUCCCACCGUUCCAUGGGACCCCCAUUCCAGGGACCAGGAAACCAAGAUGGGAUUCUGCUAACUGCCAAUCAUGCAUUCUGCAACAGGGUACUAACCACUGGACCUCACCCAGGACCCCACAUGACAUUCAGUCGUCAUGUCUCCCGAGGCCCCUCUGGGCUGUGACAGCUUCUCAGACUUUCUGUUUUUGAUGACCUUGACAGCUUGGAGGAGGACCAGUCAGGUUUGCUCCCUGUGUUGCUGAGUUCUAUGGAUACUGACCAAUCUACCAUUACGGUAUCAUACAGAGCAGUGUCAACACCAUCUACACCCCAUGCUCCACCCAUUCAUCCCAUCCACCUCCCUCUGUGCCCCUGGAAACACUGAUCUGUUUACUGUCUCCUUACUUUUCCCUUUUCCAGAAUGUCAAAUAGUUGGAAUCAUACACUAUGUAGCCUUUUCCAACUGGAUUCUUUCACUUGGCAAUAUGCAUUUAUGGUUCAUCCAUGUCUUUUUGUGGAUUGAUAACUAUUUUUAUUUUUAAAAAUUUUUAAAGAUUUAUUUAU